GGGACCCGGGCCGGAGGGGGCGGGCCGCGAGAGGCUCCGCACGGAGCGCCGCGUCUCCAAGCCGGCCCGAUCUGGUCGAGCGCCGAGCGAUCGACCCGCCGUUGCUAGGCGACCCGUGCUGCGGUGCACGCGGCGUGAGCAUUCUGAAUCCACGAAGUUCUCAGAUCCCGGGCUUCGCGUUUCGCGGCUCGCUCCUAACAGGGAGGCAUCCAUGGGUCCACGCAAACCCGAAAUUUUCGAAAUAAAGGGCUUAACCAGGGAGUUGGCUGUGUGGCCCCGAGGAAUUGGGAUUCCAUCCCCAGUGUUUUUCACCGCAUGUGACGCCUGAAGGUUGCCCAAUGGUGGCUUUAGGACUUUGUACAAAAGUUCUCAUUUUGCUCUCCGUUCCUUACUGCAUGCCAGGCGCUGUGCUAAAGGCUGGGGCGUACUACGAAGGCUUUAAAUAUUGCAGGAAAAUGAUUCUGAACUUAAUGAAGAGUGGACAUGGAAACUGCACCACACCUUCUGGUAUCUUCCAUUACAGCAGAACAGCAGACCCAGGGAGUCUUCCUGUCAUCCAGAAGAUAUUUACUAAAAUACGUCUCAAACACAGAGAUAGAAAACAAGACACCCGAAUCUGCCUUGGAUAGCUUGCAGCUUAGUGGGGAAUUCACCAAUGCAGAAGUAAGCAAAACGUUUUGGAUGAGAAGAGGGGUGAGGUCAAUUUCUGUAAUGUGUUCCUAGCUUGACUUCCCAUAAGGAGAGAGCACAUUCCUAUGAGGGAACUUAUCACUGAAUGGGACAGGUCACACUGGUUUCCUUGUCUUGUUGAUCAGAUAGAAAUGUCAAUCACACUGCAAAGAGGUGCCACAGCAUUCCCUAAAAUACCUGGGGCCUAGAGAACGGCCACCUGUGUUAAUGUCCAAACACUUGCAACAGGUUUCAGCACCUGUUUUUUGUUUGUUUGUUUGUUUGUUUUGGCAAUAUUGUUAAGCACAGAGAUGUAAAGAUGAAUUGGAAAAAUCAGGUCAGAUAAAUUUAAGAACUAAAACUAUCAUAUUUACAUAGAAGAAAAUAUAGCACAAAACAAACUAAAAAUUUACAAAUUGAAUUUCAUCAAAAUCAAAACUUUUUUUCUUGAAAAGACACUGUCAACAAGAUGAAGAGGCUAAGAGAAAACAUUUUUAGAACAAACACAGAAUUUGUGUUUGUGUCUAUAAUAAAUAACCUUUUAAAGUCAAUAAGAAGACAAGCAACUCAGUUUUUUAAAUUGUGCAAAAUAUUUGAACAGCCACUUCACUAAAGAAAAUAGGUAAAUAGUAAUUAAGCAAACAAGAUGUGCAGCAUCUUUAGGUAUUAAGGAAAUGCAAAUGAAGCACUGGAGGUAACAUUACAUGAAAGGAAAGUGACCACAACACUCAGAGCGACCAAGAGAUCUUUAUUGCAGCAGUGCAAAGGGGGAGGAAAAAGAGAAAGCGAGAGAAGAGACACAGCAAGAGAUAGAGCAAGAGAAGAAAGAGAGGGCAAGAGCAAGAGAGAGGGGCCCAGCAGGAGGGAGUUUUUAGCCAAAAUCUAAUGGGGUCUUUGGGUUUGCAAGCUGCCUUGUUGGCGUACAGCGAUUGGAUAAUACAGUAGUUGCUAAGGGUGUCAUCUUCUGCCUUCAGGCAGAUGGGGCAGGGGUCAGAUGUGGGUUUCUCUUGUACCAGAUGGGUGGGGGUCGAGUGUUCAGCCUUGAGUGGGGUUGAGUGUUCAGACUUGAUGCAAACAGGUGAUAAAGGACCAGACAGAGUGGGGUUUGGGUGUGUGGGCUAUCCUGCAGCUAACAUUUGUUCAGCCUGCCCUGCACACAACUUAGUUCAGCCUGUCCUGCACCUAACAUUACACACCUUCUACAAAUGGAAAAAUUAAAAAGAACUACCAUAACAAGUACUAGUGUAUACGUGGAGCAAAUUCCUGGACCCCUCACACAUUGCUAACAGUACACAAACUGCUCCAGCCCCUUUCAAAAACAACUUGACAAUUUCUUAGACCAUACAAUUCAGUAAUUACACUCCUAGGUAUUUACUCAAGAGAAAUAAAAACAUAAGUACAAAAGCAUAUACACAAGUGUUCAUAGUAGCUUUAUUCACAGUAGCCCACAACUGGAAACAACCCAAUGUCUAACAGCUAGUGAGUGGAAUAAUUAUAGUGUAUUAAUAUUGUGGAAUCUGGGCUGGGGCUGGGGCUCAGUGGUAGAGUGCUUGCCUGGCAUGCAUGAGGCCAUAUGUUUGAUACUCAGCACCACCUAAAAAUAAAAUAAAAAAUAAUAAUACUCCUACACAACAAUAAAAAGAAACAAGUUAUCAAUACCUCUAUGGAACUCAAAAAACUUUAUUAGGCAGAGAGGAAGAGCAUGAGAAG
This 2379-nucleotide long non-coding RNA is filed under the name Marmota monax (woodchuck). The stretch from base 2194 to 2262 matches the Rfam family "tRNA". The record is from RNAcentral. Lineage: Eukaryota; Metazoa; Chordata; Mammalia; Rodentia; Sciuridae.